AUAGAGGGUGAGAAUCCCGUCUGUGACCGGUGACCGAUCCCAUGCGAAACCCCUUCGACGAGUCGAGUUGUUUGGGAAUGCAGCUCAAAAUGGGUGGUAAAUUUCAUCUAAAGCUAAAUACUGGCUGGAGACCGAUAGCGCACAAGUAGAGUGAUCGAAAGAUGAAAAGCACUUUGGAAAGAGAGUCAAAAAGUACGUGAAAUUGUUGAAAGGGAAGCGCUUGCAACCAGACCUGUCCGUGGGUGAUCAGCCGCCGUUCUCGGUGGUGCACUCGCCUACGAUCAGGCCAGCAUCGGUUCGGGCGGUCGGACAAAGGCCUUGGGAAUGUAGCUCCUCUCGGGGAGUCUUAUAGCCCUCGGUGCAAUGCGGCCAGCCCGGACCGAGGACCGCGCUUCGGCUAGGAUGCUGGCGUAAUGGUUAUAAGCGACCCGUCUUGAAACACGGACCAAGGAGUCUAACAUCUAUGCGAGUGUUUGGGUGUCAAACCCAUACGCGGAAUGAAAGUGAACGGAGGUGAGAACCCUUUAGGGCGCAUCAUCGACCGAUCCAGAUGUCUUCGGAUGGAUUUGAGUAUGAGCAUAGCUGUUGGGACCCGAAAGAUGGUGAACUAUGCCUGAAUAGGGUGAAGCCAGAGGAAACUCUGGUGGAGGCUCGCAGCGGU
This 661-nucleotide ribosomal RNA is filed under the name Protoparmelia aff. badia A GS-2015. RNAcentral's name for it is "eukaryotic LSU rRNA". It matches the Rfam family "Eukaryotic large subunit ribosomal RNA", at positions 205 to 884 of the family's 3401-position model. The record is from RNAcentral. Lineage: Eukaryota; Fungi; Ascomycota; Lecanoromycetes; Lecanorales; Parmeliaceae.